RNAcentral lists this long non-coding RNA (256 nucleotides) under Prunus persica (peach). Its description in RNAcentral is "long non-coding RNA (PPER_LNC003563)". The record is from RNAcentral. Lineage: Eukaryota; Viridiplantae; Streptophyta; Magnoliopsida; Rosales; Rosaceae.
CUAAAUCUAAAAUUGUUGGGUUUUUUCUUUUUGUUUUUAUUUUAUCUGUGUGAAAUUCUUUUUUUAUUUUUUAUAAUAAAUUAUGUAAUUAAAACAUAUGAGAUGGUAGAUGACAUGAGUUGCCAUGUCAUGUGCCGCAUGUGUUAGUAUCCAAAAGUUGAUAAACAAGUUAGUGCUUAGUGUUAUAGAAGCAAUAUUCCAUUGUCCACAUGGAGUCUCAUGAUUGGUUGCCAAAAUAUUUACUCCCACAAUCGAG